RNAcentral lists this long non-coding RNA (7659 nucleotides) under Brassica napus (rape). Its description in RNAcentral is "long non-coding RNA (BNAP_LNC006995)". Lineage: Eukaryota; Viridiplantae; Streptophyta; Magnoliopsida; Brassicales; Brassicaceae. The record is from RNAcentral.
GAGAAGAGAUCAACGGCUCAGAUGAGAGAUCGACGGAGAAGAAGAUGAUCAGCAGAACAGAGAGCAGGACUCUGUUCGAGUUCAAGAGCGUGCCUUUGUACGGUGUGACUUCCAUCUGUGGAAGAAGACCGGAGAUGGAAGAUGCUCUCUCCGCGAUACCCAGAUUCCUUCAAUCUCCGACCAAUUCGUUGAUAGAUGGUCGUUUCAAUCCUCAGUCCGCCGCUCACUUCUUCGGCGUCUACGACGGCCACGGCGGUUCUCAGGUAACAAAUCAAUCUCCUCUGUAUAUUGCAAAAGUGUAUGACUUUGAGGCUUUGAUUGAGAUCUUGAGUUGUGUAGGUAGCGAACUAUUGCAGAGAGAGGAUGCACUUGGCUUUAGCGGAGGAGAUAGAGAAGGAGAAACCGAUGCUCUACGACGGUGACACGUGGCAGGAGAAGUGGAAGAGAGCUUUGUUCAACUCGUUCCUCCGCGUUGACUCGGAGAUCGAGUCGGUGGCCCCGGAGACUGUCGGGUCAACGUCGGUCGUCGCCGUCGUGUUCCCGACUCAUAUCUUCGUCGCGAACUGCGGCGACUCAAGAGCCGUUCUUUGCCGCGGCAAGACUGCGUUACCUUUAUCUACCGAUCACAAAGUAAGCAUAUACAGACUCAUACAUAUGUAUUGGUUGGUUCUUUAGUUUCAUAGGUUUUUGAUUCUUGAUUUGAAUCCAUUUUGUAAUGUAUGUGUGUAGCCUGAUAGAGAAGAUGAGGCGGCGAGGAUUGAAGCCGCCGGAGGGAAAGUGAUCCGGUGGAACGGAGCUCGUGUGUUCGGUGUUCUCGCCAUGUCAAGAUCCAUUGGUAAGCUUUCUUCUAUAAAUAGAAACUUUCUUUUGUUCUUACAGUCAUGUAUUGUGUGACAGGCGAUAGAUACUUAAAACCGUCGAUCAUUCCUGAUCCGGAAGUGACUGCUGUGAGGAGAGUCAAAGAAGAUGACUGUCUGAUACUAGCGAGUGACGGUGUUUGGGAUGUAAUGACGGAUGAGGAAGCGUGUGAGAUGGCGCGGAAGCGUAUUCUCUUGUGGCACAAGAAGAACAUGGGGGCUGGAGAUGCGUCGUUGCUCACGGAGGAGAGAAGAGGUGAAGGAGAAGAUCCGGCGGCGAAGUCUGCGGCUGAGUACUUGUCAAAGCUGGCUUUACAGAGAGGAAGCAAAGACAAUAUAACUGUGGUGGUGGUUGAUCUGAAGCCUCAUAGGAAACUCAAGAUCAAAAAGCCUUGAGCUGAAACAGAGGGUCCUUUUUCUAUCUUUUAUCAAUGAAUAUAGGUCUCUCAAAGAAACAAAUUAUAAUUUUUAAACUGACAUGUUACAAUCAUGUCAGACAAUGUAGCUUAAAAUGUUAAGCUCAUUGUCUUUACGUCUGAAAAGCCCCUUGUAUUUUUCCUCCCGGGCUAAUUGUAAUAUGGUUACAAUAUACAUUAAUAUAUAGACAUCUUAGUAUCAUCCGUUUAUAUCCAAAUGAUUUUCAAUAUUUUUGCAUAUGAAAAUGGAAAGAUAUUUUACUCUCUAUCCAAAGAACUCGCUCAAAAGUCAUAUAUUAUUAGAGAACAUCUCUGCUAGUGGAUAGAAAAUAUAACUUGGUGGUAAAAGGGGUGUUCAAACUUGGUUCUAGGCUUCUAGCUGAUAGAAAGUGGGGGAAUCAAAGAUCCUGCGUUGGUGAAGUAAGACGAGAGAUUCGCAUCCGAAUCUUCAAACAUGUUUACGAACUUGUGUUCCUAAAUCACCAGAAAUCACAAAAAUGACGAAGUUAUUCACAUGAUGAAAGAUAUACAUGAGAGAGACUCUUGUAUAUGAUUACGCGCCAGAAGUUCGUGUUUAAUGAUCAUAUUAGUCUAUGAUUUGUGAAUAACUUCGUGCUCAGUGAGUGUUUAAUGAUCAUACUAGUCUAUGAUCAUACUAGUCUUUAUGACUCAUGUUCUUGGAGGAAUGGUCUUCUGGUUGUUAAAUCGUUUAUUUUUAAUAAUCAAUUUGCAUUGCUUGACAGGUUGUGUGAUAUUAAUUAAGCAAACAAACAAGCUACUAUAUAUACAUUUAAAUUGUCAUGAUAAUUAGAUAAACACCAAAUUGAAGAAAUCAACAAAAGUUAAACGUGAAGUGUUGGUAAGUGAUAUCGAGUUGGACAUACUUUAAUAUUUGUUGUAUCUAUUACGUAAUUCUGUUUAUUUAAAAAGUUGUAUAUAUAUUACUAAAAAUACUCGUAAACUAACAUAUGGAAAUAAACUUUCUUUUUUGGGUUUUAAAAUAAACUUGAUAUUUGUUGAAGACGUUUUCAAUUUGAGAGAAGAAACACGAUUAGUAGCUAAAACUGCAAUAUUAGCGGAGGAGAUAGAGAAGGAGAAACCGAUGCUCUACGACGGUGACACGUGGCAGGAGAAGUGGAAGAGAGCUUUGUUCAACUCGUUCCUCCGCGUUGACUCGGAGAUCGAGUCGGUGGCCCCGGAGACUGUCGGGUCAACGUCGGUCGUCGCCGUCGUGUUCCCGACUCAUAUCUUCGUCGCGAACUGCGGCGACUCAAGAGCCGUUCUUUGCCGCGGCAAGACUGCGUUACCUUUAUCUACCGAUCACAAAGUAAGCAUAUACAGACUCAUACAUAUGUAUUGGUUGGUUCUUUAGUUUCAUAGGUUUUUGAUUCUUGAUUUGAAUCCAUUUUGUAAUGUAUGUGUGUAGCCUGAUAGAGAAGAUGAGGCGGCGAGGAUUGAAGCCGCCGGAGGGAAAGUGAUCCGGUGGAACGGAGCUCGUGUGUUCGGUGUUCUCGCCAUGUCAAGAUCCAUUGGUAAGCUUUCUUCUAUAAAUAGAAACUUUCUUUUGUUCUUACAGUCAUGUAUUGUGUGACAGGCGAUAGAUACUUAAAACCGUCGAUCAUUCCUGAUCCGGAAGUGACUGCUGUGAGGAGAGUCAAAGAAGAUGACUGUCUGAUACUAGCGAGUGACGGUGUUUGGGAUGUAAUGACGGAUGAGGAAGCGUGUGAGAUGGCGCGGAAGCGUAUUCUCUUGUGGCACAAGAAGAACAUGGGGGCUGGAGAUGCGUCGUUGCUCACGGAGGAGAGAAGAGGUGAAGGAGAAGAUCCGGCGGCGAAGUCUGCGGCUGAGUACUUGUCAAAGCUGGCUUUACAGAGAGGAAGCAAAGACAAUAUAACUGUGGUGGUGGUUGAUCUGAAGCCUCAUAGGAAACUCAAGAUCAAAAAGCCUUGAGCUGAAACAGAGGGUCCUUUUUCUAUCUUUUAUCAAUGAAUAUAGGUCUCUCAAAGAAACAAAUUAUAAUUUUUAAACUGACAUGUUACAAUCAUGUCAGACAAUGUAGCUUAAAAUGUUAAGCUCAUUGUCUUUACGUCUGAAAAGCCCCUUGUAUUUUUCCUCCCGGGCUAAUUGUAAUAUGGUUACAAUAUACAUUAAUAUAUAGACAUCUUAGUAUCAUCCGUUUAUAUCCAAAUGAUUUUCAAUAUUUUUGCAUAUGAAAAUGGAAAGAUAUUUUACUCUCUAUCCAAAGAACUCGCUCAAAAGUCAUAUAUUAUUAGAGAACAUCUCUGCUAGUGGAUAGAAAAUAUAACUUGGUGGUAAAAGGGGUGUUCAAACUUGGUUCUAGGCUUCUAGCUGAUAGAAAGUGGGGGAAUCAAAGAUCCUGCGUUGGUGAAGUAAGACGAGAGAUUCGCAUCCGAAUCUUCAAACAUGUUUACGAACUUGUGUUCCUAAAUCACCAGAAAUCACAAAAAUGACGAAGUUAUUCACAUGAUGAAAGAUAUACAUGAGAGAGACUCUUGUAUAUGAUUACGCGCCAGAAGUUCGUGUUUAAUGAUCAUAUUAGUCUAUGAUUUGUGAAUAACUUCGUGCUCAGUGAGUGUUUAAUGAUCAUACUAGUCUAUGAUCAUACUAGUCUUUAUGACUCAUGUUCUUGGAGGAAUGGUCUUCUGGUUGUUAAAUCGUUUAUUUUUAAUAAUCAAUUUGCAUUGCUUGACAGGUUGUGUGAUAUUAAUUAAGCAAACAAACAAGCUACUAUAUAUACAUUUAAAUUGUCAUGAUAAUUAGAUAAACACCAAAUUGAAGAAAUCAACAAAAGUUAAACGUGAAGUGUUGGUAAGUGAUAUCGAGUUGGACAUACUUUAAUAUUUGUUGUAUCUAUUACGUAAUUCUGUUUAUUUAAAAAGUUGUAUAUAUAUUACUAAAAAUACUCGUAAACUAACAUAUGGAAAUAAACUUUCUUUUUUGGGUUUUAAAAUAAACUUGAUAUUUGUUGAAGACGUUUUCAAUUUGAGAGAAGAAACACGAUUAGUAGCUAAAACUGCAAUAUAUGAUGAGAUGGUGAAUACAUACCUAAACCAACAACUAAAAAAAUAUGAUUAAAGAUAAUCAAGAAUAAAUAUGCUUAUGGAGCUAAUUAACGCUUAGAAUAAGAGUGUGUAAAAUAAGAAAAGAGAUUUAACUUUGGGGUUGGGGCAAAAGAAAAUUAAAAAGUCUCUCCUUUGAGUCUGACCUCAGACUUGGCUUCUUCUGCUUCUUCUACUCUUUCCGCAUUUAACGCUUACGAAGUUGAAGCAGCAGCAGCCGAAGAAGAAGAAGAAGGAAGACGACUCUCUCCUUUCUCUUAGGUAGCUCGAAUUUCGAUCAUCUCCCCCAUCUUCCCUUUGCAAUCAGUCUCCUCUCGAAUUGAGCUGGUUUUCAUGGUGUUUGAUUGAUUGAUUGAUCGAUCGAUCUGUGUGUGUGUUCGAGCCUUAGUUCGAUUGAAAUCUAUCUUCAGGGGUGUAAAAUUCAUAUUGUUACUGUUUUUUUUUAUGUUGAAGGCUAAAUUUGAAGCAAGAGCUUGACGUUCACCGAGGCUCUUUUUACUGAAGAACAUAUGGCAGAAAGUAAUCAUCUUCUUCUUCUUCUUCCCCUUUAUGGUCAGAUUAGUCAUCUAAAGCUAGACGCUUUUGGGUGUUCUUGUUAGUAGAGUAGAGAGGAAUCAUAGAUUUAUCUCUAAAUCGUGAGAGCAAAGUAGUUUAUUAGCUGUAAUUGAUUGCAUAUAUGAUUUCUGAGAACACGAACAUGACCUUGAGUCUUGAGAUGGGACAGCGUUGACUCUAUCAAAAGCUUUUAGAACGAAACAACAAGUUAAGAUUUCUUUAGGGUAGUUAUGACUCUGUCUCAAAUAUUUGAAAAGAUUAAACCAGUAGAAAUUGGUUAACCGAGUAUUGAUACUGGUUUGUGUUGGUUAAGCUCUUUGUAAGAUCGUUUGACUCAUGCUUUCAAGUGGGGAGUACCUUGAAGGUUGAUGAGUUUUUCAUCAGUUUGGAUUUAAUAUAUUCUAUUGAUUUUUAUAUUUUGUAGAUGUAAAAGAGCGUGGGGAUGGAAGUGCAGAUCUGGUGAAAUCCAUGGGAGAUAAGCAUGCUAGUGUUAUCAGACCAGCUGCUAGAUAUUACUCUGCUAUUAAAGGUAUCAUCACCAUUCACAACGAGCUCUUUCUCAUUGCAUUAAGAAACUCUUCCAUUGAUUCUUUGUGAGCUAAUACAUUGGGGUUGUGUGAUAGAUGCUAUGGUUUGUGGGAAAGGAAGAUAUACGCUUGUAAAAGACGUGGAUGAUGUCGAAAAUGGAGCGUAUGAUAAACCUCUCCCAUGCUUUGGUUGCGGAAUAGGAUGGUUCUCGUGAGUAGAAUCUUUUGUUUUGUUUUUGGUGUUAAACUGUUAAGUCUCCAGUUCUGUUUACCUGAUGAUCUCUCUCUCUUUACAGCUUCCUCCUGGGAUUUGUGUUCCCUCUCUUGUGGUAUUAUGCGACAUUUCUCUAUUUCGGGAACUACUACCGCAAGGAUCCUAGAGAAAGAGCCGGUCUUGCUGCUUCCGCAAUCACUGUAAUGACUCUCUCCUUCUCUCUCUCUCACCCCCUCUCCUCUUUGACUAUUUGAGCUUCCAUCGAAAUGAUGAUGAGAUCUCGUGAUGUUGCAGGCGAUGGGAUUCUCCCUCUUGCUACUGGUGAUUGCUGUUUUCAGGUGGUUUUAGUGGCGCUUCUUCUUACGUAUACACACCAUACUCUUGAGCUAUAUAUAUAUAUAUGUACAAUCUUGGUCCCUUCCUUGUCAAAGGAUUAUAGAGGAGGGACUUAGAUAUAUGGCUGUACAUUCAAUAUAAACCCAAAGUGCAGAUACUAUACCUUAUAUUUACUCAAAUCUCUGUAUCAUCUUCUUCUCAUUAUCUACGUUUGUGUGUACAAAGGAACAGAAUAAAAAUAAACCGAAUAAAUAGUUGUUUCUUUCUUGAGCUAAUGAAUGUUUUUUCUUUUUUUUUUUUUUGUUGGCUUUGCACCGGUUAAGUAAUAAACCACAAUAUGUGAAUUGGUAGAACAAACCGAGUUGAAAUUGGAAUUACAGUAAUGAUUUUAUAGCAAACCAAUUAAAAAGGGGAAGUUGCCCUUCACGCGCGAGUUCGCGCGUGAUUAAAAAAACAAAGCUUCGUUUAUUAGUUUUUAGUUUUACCAGUUCAAGUGUACAUACAGUCGCGCAGUCGCGGUUGUUCAAAGAAGAGACAAAAAAGAUGAACAAAAGAUUUGGGGGGAAGAAGCCGACGGGAACUCCGUCUUUAGCGUUGUCAACCGUCGUCGUUGUAGCCUCAUUGCUCGCCGGAGCCUCCGUCGUACACAAUUUAUACAAGCCAGAUCUCGUAAGUUAUAUUCUCCUUCAAUGCGUGUAAGGUGUUCGAUGUAAUGUCGAGAUGAUCUGAUAAUCAUUUCUCUUUCUUAUUUCAAGACAUUACCUCAGAUGGGAAGUGAUGAAGUAGACAAGAAGGAAGAAUCUCGAAACAAAGAUUAAAAUCCUUUUUUUUUUCAGUCGUUUCUUGUCUUUUUAUUUCACAAUCUCCUCUGGGUUCGGAGUUUUAUGCCCUUAAGACUUUUUUCUGUUAUGUAAUGAAUAAGUCCCCUCACUGGUCAAAGAAUAUUUUAAGAGGUUGUAAUGAGUUACCCACAAUACAGGAAACCCUGAUUCAAAUUCAAUACAUACAUAUUUGUUUUCUUUUGCUGUGUGGUGAUUUUAUCCCAGCGAAAAUAACGGUUUCAUGUGCUAGUUAUAUUUUUCUUUUGGGGAGAGUCAUGGGUUUCUUGUCUGCAUAGCUUCUCACAAAGUUGUUCUCUUUAAAAACCAAUAAAAAGGAGAGAGAGAGAGAGAGAGAGAAAACAAAGCUUGAGGUUCCAUCAAUGGAGGAAGUAUCUCCGGCGGUUCCUAUGCCUUUCAUGCCUUUCCCCGAAACCCAGAUGGAACUCGCAGGGCUCAUGUUGGGUAAAGGUUAUCACAACGGCCAAUACUCAACUCAAGAUUCCGACAACGGAGAUUCUAGACAGGAGACUUCACGCUCUGUUUCUGAAUCUAGGAGAGUUUUGUCCUCUCGGAUUAAUUCUCCCAACUUCAACAUGAAGAAUCACUCAUCAUCCGCUGAUAUCUCCGCCGCCGGAGAAGAGAUCAACGGCUCAGAUGAGAGAUCGACGGAGAAGAAGAUGAUCAGCAGAACAGAGAGCAGGACUCUGUUCGAUUUCAAGAGCGUGCCUUUGUACGGUGUGACUUCCAUCUGUGGAAGAAGACCGGAGAUGGAAGAUGCUGUCUCCGCGAUACCAAGAUUCCUUCAGUCUCCGACCAAUUCGUUGAUAGAUGGUCGUUUCAAUCCUCAGUCCGC